GGUGGCUCAGUGGUAGAGCGCUUGCCUUGCACGCCUGAGGCCCUGGGUUCGAUUCCUCAGCACCA
This is a non-coding RNA of Dipodomys ordii (Ord's kangaroo rat), 65 nucleotides long. Lineage: Eukaryota; Metazoa; Chordata; Mammalia; Rodentia; Heteromyidae. The record is from Rfam.